CCUACGGGAGGCAGCAGUGGGGAAUUUUGGACAAUGGGCGCAAGCCUGAUCCAGCCAUGCCGCGUGUGGGAAGAAGGCCUUCGGGUUGUAAACCACUUUUGUCAGGGAAGAAACGGCUCUUACUAAUAUUAGGGGCUAAUGACGGUACCUGAAGAAUAAGCACCGGCUAACUACGUGCCAGCAGCCGCGGUAAUACGUAGGGUGCAAGCGUUAAUCGGAAUUACUGGGCGUAAAGCGUGCGCAGGCGGCUUUGCAAGACAGAUGUGAAAUCCCCGGGCUCAACCUGGGAACUGCAUUUGUGACUGCAUGGCUAGAGUACGGUAGAGGGGGAUGGAAUUCCGCGUGUAGCAGUGAAAUGCGUAGAUAUGCGGAGGAACACCGAUGGCGAAGGCAAUCCCCUGGACCUGUACUGACGCUCAUGCACGAAAGCGUGGGGAGCAAACAGGAUUAGAUACCCUGGUAGUCCACGCCCUAAACGAUGUCAACUGGUUGUUGGACGGCUUGCUGUUCAGUAACGAAGCUAACGCGUGAAGUUGACCGCCUGGGGAGUACGGCCGCAAGGUUGAAACUCAAAUGAAAUUGACGG
RNAcentral lists this ribosomal RNA (586 nucleotides) under uncultured bacterium. RNAcentral describes it as "bacterial SSU rRNA". It matches the Rfam family "Bacterial small subunit ribosomal RNA", at positions 338 to 916 of the family's 1533-position model. The record is from RNAcentral.